This 253-nucleotide ribosomal RNA is filed under the name uncultured bacterium. RNAcentral describes it as "partial 16S ribosomal RNA". It matches the Rfam family "Bacterial small subunit ribosomal RNA", at positions 524 to 776 of the family's 1533-position model. The record is from RNAcentral.
UACGGGGGGGGCAAGCGUUGUUCGGAAUUACUGGGCGUAAAGGGUUCGUAGGUGGCCAACUAAGUCAGACGUGAAAUCCCUCAGCUUAACUGGGGAACUGCGUCUGAGACUGGAUGGCUUGAGUGCAGGAGAGGAACGCGGAAUUCCAGGUGUAGCGGUGAAAUGCGUAGAUAUCGGGAAGAACAUCGGUGGCGAAGGCGGCCAGCUGGGCCAUUGCUGACGCUGAGGCGCGACAGCGUGGGGAGCAAACAGG